RNAcentral lists this transfer RNA (90 nucleotides) under Streptomyces omiyaensis. RNAcentral describes it as "tRNA-Pro". The record is from RNAcentral. Lineage: Bacteria; Bacillati; Actinomycetota; Actinomycetes; Kitasatosporales; Streptomycetaceae.
CGACCGCGUGCGCGGGCCCGGAUGGGCGGCCGCCUUCCUGGAGGAGGCGCGGGCACGGGGCGCGGCGCCGUUCGUGCCCGCGGCGGUGGA